AUUUUAUGUUUUCAUAAAAUAAAGGAAAUUGGGAAAAAGGAGGUAGAAGCAAAAGGGAUAGAGUCUGAGAACUGAAGAACACGUGAAAGAGAGAAGAGCCAAAGGAGAAGAAGACCUUCGAAGAUUCGACUCUGAGAUUGAAGUAGCGGUUUAAGCGAUCGGUGAGGAUGACUCGUAGAGUUUAUCCGGUUAUGUGGAGUCGUGUCGGUCAUGCUCUGAUCUUGUAACACUGGGGGUCGAUAGUCUUAGCGUUACUUGAUAUACAUUGUUUACAUCAUUGGUGAUGGAUUAUGUAUUGUUGAUUUGUUUGGAUAUGUUUCUUAACGUUGUUAAAAUGAGUUUCCGCUGUGCUAAACACAUGUUUUGAUAUUGGCUAAAUUCUAAUAAAGCAUGACAAACGUCUUGGAGUUUUCUUUAUUUUAUUAAUUGUAACAUCCUUGUUGUAUGAUUACUCUGAUUAUUAUGUUUUUCGCGGGGGUUUUUAGAAGGGUGUUACAAUAGUGGUAUCAGAGCAGGUCGGUCCGUCCGGCCAAAUGUCGAGUCAGUUGAGUUGCACGACAGUUGAAUACUGUCGGCAUAUUAUCCCUUGGUACGCGACAUGUGAGUGAAUCACUGUUGGUACUUGGUUGUUUGUUGCGGAAGUUGGUUUGAAACAAGUGGGGAAGAAGCUUUGCUUCUCGGUUAUGUUUCAGUUGUAAGACGAUCGAUUCAGUAGGAUGUUGUUGGCAACAGUGCAAACGUUGUUGGAGUUGUUGUUUUCCGAAUCGAAGGUGACUUGAAAUUAGGACUUGAUUGGUAGUUAAGUUGGAACAUCUGUAAGGAAAGUGAUUAGAGGUAAUUGAUGAUUAUUUGUAAGAGAGGGAAAUUAAGAAGUUGAAAUGUAUCAGCCUUGCUGAUGGGCUGCGAAGUUGUCAGUUGAGUAGCCGUGCGUCUCGGAAGAGGUUUAGCUGCAAGUUUGCAGAGAGGAUUGCUGCCGUAUGUUUCAGAAAUCACACUUCGGCAAUGGGAUGUGUUGCUUAAGUUAUAAGAAUGUUUGGAAGUGAAGAGAUGUGAUAAGGGGCUGUUUGGAAUAUGAUCGAGUUGAAGAGAAUGAAUUUUGGAGUGAAAUUUUCGUAAGUAAAACGCAGGAAAUUGCUGAAUCGCUACAGAACUUCAAAAAUUCAUAACUGGAGUUCUGGAAAUCCGAUUUCAGUUCCGUUUGAAGCGUCGGAAAGCUAAAGAGAUGAACUUUGUUAUAAAAAUGGUUGCAGCAGCUGUAACAUAUUUAAUUGUGACAGGAUGAUGUUGGAAAGAGGUGAAGUUGCGGUUACGCGUGCUCUUAGAACUAGACUUGUUUGUUGGUACGUCACGGGAUGUCAGUGUCAGAGUUGAACGGAUUGAAGGAAUAAUUAAAAGGUUUAUUGAGAAGCAAUUUUAGGAAUUAAGUGUACCAUUUGAGGAGUUUUGGAAAUAUCAUUUAAAGUGUCGCUGCAUGGCGUCAGUGUUGCAAUUUCGGACAACGAUUGGAAAAUUCAUAUCUUGAGAUUCGAGUGUCUGAUUUAAGUGCCGUUUGGGGCGUUGCGAAGCUGACUUAAUAACCAUGAGAUAUGUUGUUAUUUGAUGUUUUAAACUUGUUUGAAAUGUGUUCCCAUUAUAAAAACAGAGGAGUGGGAAUUCUGGGUUGCUGGGAACCGGUUCCGAGGUAGGGACAACCCGGUUCCCCAUAGUAAAAAUCAGAGACGAGUUGUGGGAAGCAGUCAAGAACCGGUUCCUGUGUGGGAGGAACCGGGUUCUACUAUGAGUUUUUGGAGAAUUGUUUUACUUUAAAAACCCAUAACUUUUGAUCCUAUGAGGAGAUAUUCGGAAGUCGGUUAAGGAAGCGUGAAACUUGUUGAAUAUGAAUGCCUACUACCGAGAUUGUUUGAAACAAAAUUGAGUAGAAUAUGUUGUUGAGGAAUAAGUUGAUGAGAUGUUCGAUAAUAAAUUUGAUUUGAGUUCCGAUGGAUUUUAGUGAGGCGUGAAUUAGUAGGAAAGGUGGAACAAACUUCGAGAACGGUCGAAGUCGUAUUUGUGAUGCCAAAGCAACGACAUGUAUAGAAGAAGAAUUGUAGAGGAUUUCUUACACCUAUUGGUGUGAGGAAGACUUUGUUGAGAUUCCGAGUGGAAUGAUACUUGGACGCAAAAGAUGUCUUGGGAUUUAGAGUGAAACCACGAGUUAUGAAUGUUGUCGCAGUCUUUUGCUAAGAUGAGAAUUUUGAUUGGAAUGAGAUAAAUAGUAAUGUACGAGUAUAUUAGUGACUGUGAAGUUGGAAGUACUUAACAAGCGUGUGACGCUAAGUGACUAUGAAGCGGAUUGUGUAAAAUGUUUGGAUGUUGUUGUCUCACCGAUAAGAUCCAAUGAGAGGGAAGCGUGCGAGUUGUAAAGACUCAAGGUGAAAUAUUGAACUAUGACGAUGUUAAUGAGUUUGGGUGCAAACUCGGAAAGGACACUAUUAUGUAGUAACGACGGUUUAUGCAUAAAUAUGGUUGUCGGCUAUCUAUUGACAAAUUGAGGACUUGAUCACCCUUAAUCUCUUGUUGGUAGUAGACGGAAUCAUAUAAAUGUGAUGAGCUUGUUUUGUUACCUUAAUGGUAUAAGUUGUGAUGGAUAUUAAACCGUGAGAAUAAUCACUCACCAUGCUGUGGGACUUAUGGAGAAGUGAAUAGGAAAGAGUGCAAUUUAUUGGACGGUGACUUAAGACAGGUAAUCAGAGUCGCACAACGAAAGUGUGAUGUGGAGUGGUGUUAUGAGUACUACUCGUGGGCAGUGAGGAAUUUAUAUGUCGGAAGCCUACAUAGAGAAUAUGUAUUGAUCUAUAUGUUAGAUUUAGCAUCUAUUGGAUGCAAGGAUGUCGUGCUAGAGAAUUAGAACUCUUUUGAAUAAUUGCCGAGAUGAUGAGUAUGUUAUUGUGGAUGUACUUAGUUAACGAGUAUGUAUUCAGCGAAGUUAAGGCGAUGAGUGUAUACUAUAUGAUGCUAUAAUAAUUUUGUACUGUUAUAAGGUAUUAUUGUAGAUUUCUAGAUAUAAUGGGGAAUUAUACUCUAUGAAGGACGAAGUUGAUUUAAUUCUUGGAGAAGAGCGGACUUCAGUUUGAGCUAUUUUAUAAGCAAUGGUAUAUUAAGGAUGAUGAGUGUGAUUAUAAUUACUUGUGUGUACUCAUUCUGAUGGUUGAAAUGUUUAAAUAGAGGAAGUAAAUCAGGACUUUGUUUUGAGUGUGAGUAAGUAUUGCUAAGUGGUAGAUUAGUACCAUGUACGAUAAAGAAGGAUUCUUGAACGAAUGAGUAAAGAGAGUCGGAAUUGGGUAAAACUGAGAAAUCUAAUUGGUAAUGAUGAUUGUAAUGAGUAAUCAAAAUAGUGCAGCAAAAGCGGAAUAUAACGUGUUGGAUAAUUGCUGGUAUGACUUGAGAGGAGUCAGAUGGUUGAAAUUCAAUGGUAUAGGAAUGUUAUUAUCGAGCUCUUGAAGGAAGCAGUUGGUGAAAAGUGUAAGUAUUAUUUCAUCGCUCGGAUGGAAAGGUGUGUCUAAGGUUGGUACGAUCGGUAGAUGGAAUGCUUUACUGCAGUGUUGAUCGGGGUGGUCAUACUAUGGUUGUGUAAUUAUAUUAUUCAGUGAUCGAGCGUAUUGUAUGGGUUGUACCUCAAUGUUCUAUCGUUGUUAACCUUCUGGAGAUAUAGCGAGUGGUAUACUUUUGAAUGGUCAAAUGCGACGUAUGAGCUGAGAUUGAAUGCAUGAGGCAUGCUUAUGUUGGUUAUGUCAGAUGAAUUUUGAGGUUCGACUAAGAAAGUGUUAACUGAGAACGGGAGAGUAAGAUGAAGGCCUCCUAUUUGGAACUUUCACUAGAAGCAUGUUUUCGAGGACGAAAACUCUUUUAGUGGGGGAGAGUUGUAACACCCCAUAUUUUCUAAUUUUAAUUUAAUUGGAAAUUAAAUUAUUAAUUAGAAUUAUUUUGGUAUUUGGUUGAAUUAUUGUAGAAUUAUGGAUUAAGAGCCAUUGGGCCGGAUGGUGAGGUUAGCAGUAUGGGGGUGCUAAGUGAGUAAGCCCAUUACUAACUAUUUUAUGUUUUCAUAAAAUAAAGGAAAUUGGGAAAAAGGAGGUAGAAGCAAAAGGGAUAGAGUCUGAGAACUGAAGAACACGUGAAAGAGAGAAGAGCCAAAGGAGAAGAAGACCUUCGAAGAUUCGACUCUGAGGUAAGGGGUGAUUGCUCUAAUUAUGUAGUAUUAUGAUUUUGAUGAUGAUAGGAUUGAAUUAAGGGAUUAGAAUCUCUAUUUGGGAUGUUAGGUUUGUGAAAUACCAACACUGACAUGUAUGAUUUGAUGAAUUGACUGCAAUUGAUGAUGUAGUAAUGUUACAUGGUGUUUUGGUAUGUUGUUUGUGCAUUAUAAUCAUGUAUUUGGAGUAUUUUGAUGUUAUCGAUGAUCAAUUUCGUAAUGGUAUGAGUUGGUGUGUGUUUGGGAUGCAUAAAAGUCUUAAAAAUCAUGUUUUUCAGCUACUGGGUUCGUGGGAACCGGUUCCCAUGUGGGAGGAACCGGGUUCCACUGUGUUAGAACGUUAAAAAUGGCAUUUUUGGGUCCAGGAACCGGUUCCCAUGUGGGACGAACCGGGUUCCAGUACAAAAUUCCAGCAGCAUGUUUUUGAAAACUAUUCUAACCUUAAAAGCUUCUAAUUUUUGAACCGUAAGUCCGUUUUAGACGCCGUUUUGGACGUUGUUUCUUAAAUUAAAUACUCUAUGAUAUAAAGUAAAGAAAAUAACAAUAACUUGAUUUUAUUUUGAAAACCUUGAUUUAUUUCGUUUAUGGCGUGUUUUGUACAUUGUGUGCAUGAUUUGGUUAAUGUGACAAUGUGGUGAUGUUGUAAUGAUAUAACUGUGAUUUGACGUUAUAUGUGGUGUAAAUUAUAUAUGAUGAAUAGGUGAUAUCAGGGGUGGCCCUGAGCACGGGCUCGUGGGGCGGGAGCCCAGGGCCCCAGAAUUUUAGGGGCACCAAAUGUAUUUUUCUUACCCCUACAUAUAUUAAAAGAGAAUUUUCUAUUACAAAAAUACUUGCUAGAAAUUUAAAAAAAAAUACUGGUUAACAAAAUUAUAAGGGCACGACAAAGUUAAAAUUAAUAAAAGAAUGUAAUUUCUCAUAAAUAAAAUAUAAAAAAAUAAAAUCAAUUAAUUCCUCUAAAAUAAUAUUAAUUAACUUAUCCAUGAUUUUAGCAACUACAGAGUUUAAUUGAGGCACUAAAAUUAAAAUAAUGAUAUAGAAAAUAUUUUAUAUUAUUGAUCCCAAAAUUAAGAGUGAACUACUUCAACUACCUGAACAAGAUAAUAAUCUCAAAAUUAAGAGUGAAGUCGAAUCUUUAACAACUCAUGGAAUUAGAAACUUUAAAUUUUUAGUAGCUAUGAUUAUUUAGUAGCUGAAUCUUGAUUCUGCUGAAGAGUCUUUUCGAAAUCAUGAUUUCUUAUAUAUUGUAGAUCAAACAAUAGGCUCACUUGAUAUAAGAUUUAAGCAGUAUAGCACAUAUGAAAAUAUUUUUUUAGAUUUUUGUUUAGUAUUGAAAGGCUUAGAUCAUAAAUAAUUUUGUUUGAAGAACCGAAACUUAUUAGAGAAGUGUUAAUAGUUGAAUCAAAAUUAAGCUAUAUAAUAUUGAGUUCUUCAAAGACUUUUAAUUGUUUUCCUAAUGCAUGCAUAUAUUAAAGAGGAUUAUUGACUAAAUAGUCAUGCGUAAAUUUCAAUUGAAAAUAAUUUUUUGAAGAACCUUGAUUAUGAACAAAUUAUUAACGAUUUUGCAACAAAAAAUGCUAAGAGGAUGAUAUUUAAACAAUUUUAAAGGCUUGGUCAAUUUUUUUAUAGGAAAAAAGACCGGAUCAAGAAGAAUAAUAAUAAGUCUCUUUAUAGUGGUUUAUGUUUUGAUGUAGUAUAAACAUUGAUUGAAAGAUCCAUAUUUCUAUUCUUUGUGGACAAUAUCAAAUGAAAAUGUGUUUUUUUAUCCAAUUAUUUCUUUUAUCUUUAUGUAUUUCUUGUUAAAAAAAAUUAUAGGGGCACCACUCUUUUGAUUCGCCCAAGGCACCAAAACUCAAAGGACCGGCCCUGGGUGAUAUGGAUGUAAAGUCCGAGUUUUAUACCCUGUUUGUAUUAUUUAUUGGAUGAUGUUUUACUUGUAUGCGUGUGAUAUAUUUGUAUGAAUGCUAAAACUAAUGCAUGCUUAUUGGUGAUGAAUUGGUGAUGAUAAUGAGACGAUGUGAUACAUCGGAUUGGUGAUGUUGUAAGCAUGUUAUACGUUGCAUUCAUUCGCAUACAUUUUUGGUGAUGGAUCCCGGUGAUGAAAGUGGAUCAAAAUGGUGGGCAUAAUUCCCAUUGUGUGGAAUUUGUGCUGGUUAAACUGUAUCUUGGUGAUGAAAAAGAUCAGUUGGAUGGGUGUAUCCCAUGUAUGGUACCACAUGCAUAAGAGUCUGCAUGGUCUUUGUAUAAAUUGUGACAUGUCAGGAUGAAAUCCGGUGUUAUGAUUGUGUUGUGUUACUGUUGCAUACUAUUGACUUGUGCUUGUGAUUGGUAUGAAUUGAUUAAUCUGAAUAUGCUAAGUAGGGUGGAUAAUCGCUUAUGAAAUUCCAUAUCUAAUGAUUUAUAAUGCUAUUUAAUUAUGAUGUAGUCUCACCCUUACUUUGAUGAUUUCAGAUUGAAGUAGCGGUUUAAGCGAUCGGUGAGGAUGACUCGUAGAGUUUAUCCGGUUAUGUGGAGUCGUGUCGGUCAUGCUCUGAUCUGGUAACACUGGGGGUCGAUAGUCUUAGCGUUACUUGAUAUACAUUGUUUACAUCAUUGGUGAUGGAUUAUGUAUUGUUGAUUUGUUUGGAUAUGUUUCUUAACGUUGUAAAAAUGAGUUUCCGCUGUGCUAAACACAUGUUUUGAUAUUGGUUAAAUUCUAAUAAAGCAUGACAAACGUCUUGGAGUUUUCUUUAUUUUAUUAAUUGUAACAUCCUUGUUGUAUGAUUACUCUGAUUAUUAUGUUUUUCGCGGGGGUUUUUAGAAGGGUGUUACAAUAGUGGUAUCAGAGCAGGUCGGUCCGUCCGGCCAAAUGUCGAGUCAGUUGAGUUGCAAGACAGUUGAAUACUGUCGGCAUAUUAUCCCUUGGUACGCGACAUGUGACUGAAUCACUGUUGGUACUUGGUUGUUUGUUGCGGAAGUUGGUUUGAAACAAGUGGGGAAGAAGCUUUGCUUCUCGGUUAUGUUUCAGUUGUAAGACGAUCGAUUCAGUAGGAUGUUGUUGGCAACAGUGCAAGCGUUGUUGGAGUUGUUGUUUUCCGAAUCGAAGGUGACUUGAAAUUAGGACUUGAUUGGUAGUUAAGUUGGAACAUCUGUAAGGAAAGUGAUUAGAGGUAAUUGAUGAUUAUUUGUAAGAGAGGGAAAUUAAGAAGUUGAAAUGUAUCAGCCUUGCUGAUGGGCUGCGAAGUUGUCAGUUGAGUAGCCGUGCGUCUCGGAAGAGGUUUAGCUGCAAGUUUGCAGAGAGGAUUGCUGCCGUAUGUUUCAGAAAUCGCACUUCGGCAAUGGGAUGUGUUGCUUAAGUUAUAAGAAUGUUUGGAAGUGAAGAGAUGUGAUAAGGGGCUGUUUGGAAUAUGAUCGAGUUGAAGAGAAUGAAUUUUGAGUGAAAUUUUCGUAAGUAAAACGCAGGAAAUUGGUGAAUAGCUACAGAACUUCAAAAAUUCAUAACUGGAGUUCUGGACAUCCGAUUUGAGUUCCGUUUGAAGCGUCGGAAAGCUAAAGAGAUGAACUUUGUUAUAAAAAUGGUUGCAGCAGCUGUAACAUAUUUAAUUGUGACAGGAUGAUGUUGGAAAGAGGUGAAGUUGCGGUUACGCGUGCUCUUAGAACUAGACUUGUUUGUUGGUACGUCACGGGAUGUCAGUGUCAGAGUUGAACGGAUUGAAGGAAUAAUUAAAAGGUUUAUUGAGAAGCAAUUUUAGGAAUUAAGUGUACCAUUUGAGGAGUUUUGGAAAUAUCAUUUAAAGUGUCGCUGCAUGGCGUCAGUGUUGCAAUUUCGGACAACGAUUGGAAAAUUCAUAUCUUGAGAUUCGAGUGUCUGAUUUAAGUGCCGUUUGGGGAGUUGUGAAGCUGACUUAAUAACCAUGAGAUAUGUUGUUAUUUGAUGUUUUAAACUUGUUUGAAAUUUGUUCCCAUUAUAAAAACAGAGGAGUGGGAAUUCUGGGUUGCUGGGAACCGGUUCCCAGGUAGGGACAACCCGGUUCCCCAUAGUAAAAAUCAGAGACGGGUUGUGGGAUGCAGUCAAGAACCGGUUCCUGUGUGGGAGGAACCGGGUUCUACUAUGAGUUUUUGGAGAAUUGUUUUACUUUAAAAACCCAUAACUUUUGAUCCUAUGAGGAGAUAUUCUGAAGUCGGUUAAGGAAGCGUGAAACUUGUUGAAUAGGAAUGCCUACUACCGAGAUUGUUUGAAACAAAAUUGAGUAGAAUAUGUUGUUGAGGAAUAAGUUAAUGAGAUGUUCGAUAAUAAAUUUGAUUUGAGUUCCGAUGGAUUUUAGUGAGGCGUGAAUUAGUAGGAAAGGUGGAACAAACUUCGAGAACGGUCGAAGUCGUAUUUGUGAUGCCAAAGCAACGACAUGUAUAGAAGAAGAAUUGUAGAGGAUUUCUUACACCUAUUGGUGUGAGGAAGACUUUGUUGAGAUUCCGAGUGGAAUGAUACUUGGACGCAAAAGAUGUCUUGGGAUUUAGAGUGAAACCACGAGUUAUGAAUGUUGUCGCAGUCUUUUGCUAAGAUGAGAAUUUUGAUUGGAAUGAGAUAAAUAGUAAUGUACGAGUAUAUUAGUGACUGUGAAGUUGGAAGUACUUAACAAGCGUGUGACGCUAAGUGACUAUGAAGCGGAUUGUGUAAAAUGUUUGGAUGUUGUUGUCUCACCGAUAAGAUCCAAUGAGAGGGAAGCGUGCGAGUUGUAAAGACUCAAGGUGAAAUAUUGAACUAUGACGAUGUUAAUGAGUUUGGGUGCAAACUCGGAAAGGACACUAUUAUGUAGUAACGACGGUUUAUGCAUAAAUAUGGUUGUCGGCUAUCUAUUGACAAAUUGAGGACUUGAUCACCCUUAAUCUCUUGUUGGUAGUAGACGGAAUCAUAUAAAUGUGAUGAGCUUGUUUUGUUACCUUAAUGGUAUAAGUUGUGAUGGAUAUUAAACCGUGAGAAUAAUCACUCACCAUGCUGUGGGACUUAUGGAGAAGUGAAUAGGAAAGAGUGCAAUUUAUUGGACGGUGACUUAAGACAGGUAAUCAGAGUCGCACAACGAAAGUGUGAUGUGGAGUGGUGUUAUGAGUACUACUCGUGGGCAGUGAGGAAUUUAUAUGUCGGAAGCCUACAUAGAGAAUAUGUAUUGAUCUAUAUGUUAGAUUUAGCAUCUAGUGGAUGCAAGGAUGUCGUGCUAGAGAAUUAGAACUCUUUUGAAUAAUUGCCGAGAUGAUGAGUAUGUUAUUGUGGAUGUACUUAGUUAACGAGUAUGUAUUCAGCGAAGUUAAGGCGAUGAGUGUAUACUAUAUGAUGCUAUAAUAAUUUUGUACUGUUAUAAGGUAUUAUUGUAGAUUUCUAGAUAUAAUGGGGAAUUAUACUCUAUGAAGGACGAAGUUGAUUUAAUUCUUGGAGAAGAGCGGACUUCAGUUUGAGCUAUUUUAUAAGCAAUGGUAUAUUAAGGAUGAUGAGUGUGAUUAUAAUUACUUGUAUGUACUCAUUCUGAUGGUUGAAAUGUUUAAAUAGAGGAAGUAAAUCAGGACUUUGUUUUGAGUGUGAGUAAGUAUUGCUAAGUGGUAGAUUAGUACCAUGUACGAUAAAGAAGGAUUCUUGAACGAAUGAGUAAAGAGAGUCGGAAUUGGGUAAAACUGAGAAAUCUAAUUGGUAAUGAUGAUUGUAAUGAGUAAUCAAAAUAGUGCAGCAAAAGCGGAAUAUAACGUGUUGGAUAAUUGCUGGUAUGACUUGAGAGGAGUCAGAUGGUUGAAAUUCAAUGGUAUAGGAAUGUUAUUAUCGAGCUCUUGAAGGAAGCAGUUGGUGAAAAGUGUAAGUAUUAUUUCAUCGCUCGGAUGGAAAGGUGUGUCUAAGGUUGGUACGAUCGGUAGAUGGAAUGCUUUACUGCAGUGUUGAUCGGGGUGGUCAUACUAUGGUUGUGUAAUUAUAUUAUUCAGUGAUCGAGCGUAUUGUAUGGGUUGUACCUCAAUGUUCUAUCGUUGUUAACCUUCUGGAGAUAUAGCGAGUGGUAUACUUUUGAAUGGUCAAAUGCGACGUAUGAGCUGAGAUUGAAUGCAUGAGGCAUGCUUAUGUUGGUUAUGUCAGAUGAAUUUUGAGGUUCGACUAAGAAAGUGUUAACUGAGAACGGGAGAGUCAGAUGAAGGCCUCCUAUUUGGAACUUUCACUAGAAGCAUGUUUUCGAGGACGAAAACUCUUUUAGUGGGGGAGAGUUGUAACACUCCAUAUUUUCUAAUUUUAAUUUAAUUGGAAAUUAAAUUAUUAAUUAGAAUUAUUUUGGUAUUUGGUUGAAUUAUUGUAGAAUUAUGGAUUAAGAGCCAUUGGGCCGGAUGGUGAGGUUAGCAGUAUGGGGGUGCUAAGUGAGUAAGCCCAUUACUAACUAUUUUAUGUUUUCAUAAAAUAAAGGAAAUUGGGAAAAAGGAGGUAGAAGCAAAAGGGAUAGAGUCUGAGAACUGAAGAACACGUGAAAGAGAGAAGAGCCAAAGGAGAAGAAGACCUUCGAAGAUUCGACUCUGAUGUAAGGGGUGAUUGCUCUAAUUAUGUAGUAUUAUGAUUUUGAUGAUGAUAGGAUUGAAUUAAGGGAUUAGAAUCUCUAUUUGGGAUGUUAGGUUUGUGAAAUACCAACACUGACAUGUAUGAUUUGAUGAAUUGACUGCAAUUGAUGAUGUAGUAAUGUUACAUGGUGUUUUGGUAUGUUGUUUGUGCAUUAUAAUCAUGUAUUUGGAGUAUUUUGAUGUUAUCGAUGAUCAAUUUCGUAAUGGUAUGAGUUGGUAUGUGUUUGGGAUGCAUAAAAGUCUUAAAAAUCAUGUUUUUCAGCUACUGGGUUCGUGGGAACCGGUUCCCAUGUGGGAGGAACCGGGUUCCACUGUGUUAGAACGUUAAAAAUGGCAUUUUUGGGUCCAGGAACCGGUUCCCAUGUGGGACGAACCGGGUUCCAGUACAAAAUUCCAGCAGCAUGUUUUUGAAAACUAUUCUAACCUUAAAAGCUUCUAAUUUUUGAACCGUAAGUCCGUUUUAGACGCCGUUUUGGACGUUGUUUCUUAAAUUAAAUACUCUAUGAUAUAAAGUAAAGAAAAUAACAAUAACUUGAUUUUAUUUUGAAAACCUUGAUUUAUUUCGUUUAUGGCGUGUUUUGUACAUUGUGUGCAUGAUUUGGUUAAUGUGACAAUGUGGUGAUGUUGUAAUGAUAUAACUGUGAUUUGACGUUAUAUGUGGUGUAAAUUAUAUAUGAUGAAUAGGUGAUAUGGAUGUAAAGUCCGAGUUUUAUACCCUGUUUGUAUUAUUUAUUGGAUGAUGUUUUACUUGUAUGCGUGUGAUAUAUUUGUAUGAAUGCUAAAACUAAUGCAUGCUUAUUGGUGAUGAAUUGGUGAUGAUAAUGAGACGAUGUGAUACAUCGGAUUGGUGAUGUUGUAAGCAUGUUAUACGUUGCAUUCAUUCGCAUACAUUUUUGGUGAUGGAUCCCGGUGAUGAAAGUGGAUCAAAAUGGUGGGCAUAAUUCCCAUUGUGUGGAAUUUGUGCUGGUUAAACUGUAUCUUGGUGAUGAAAAAGAUCAGUUGGAUGGGUGUAUCCCAUGUAUGGUACCACAUGCAUAAGAGUCUGCAUGGUCUUUGUAUAAAUUGUGACAUGUCAGGAUGAAAUCCGGUGUUAUGAUUGUGUUGUGUUACUGUUGCAUACUAUUGACUUGUGCUUGUGAUUGGUAUGAAUUGAUUAAUCUGAAUAUGCUAAGUAGGGUGGAUAAUCGCUUAUGAAAUUCUAUAUCUAAUGAUUUAUAAUGCUAUUUAAUUAUGAUGUAGUCUCACCCUUACUUUGAUGAUUUCAGAUUGAAGUAGCGGUUUAAGCGAUCGGUGAGGAUGACUCGUAGAGUUUAUCCGGUUAUGUGGAGUCGUGUCGGUCAUGCUCUGAUCUUGUAACACUGGGGGUCGAUAGUCUUAGCGUUACUUGAUAUACAUUGUUUACAUCAUUGGUGAUGGAUUAUGUAUUGUUGAUUUGUUUGGAUAUGUUUCUUAACGUUGUUAAAAUGAGUUUCCGCUGUGCUAAACACAUGUUUUGAUAUUGGUUAAAUUCUAAUAAAGCAUGACAAACGUCUUGGAGUUUUCUUUAUUUUAUUAAUUGUAACAUCCUUGUUGUAUGAUUACUCUGAUUAUUAUGUUUUUCGCGGGGGUUUUUAGAAGGGUGUUACAGAUCCCGGUGAUGUUGUGGAUCAAAUGGUUGGCAUAAUUUCCAUUGUGUGGAAUUUGUGCCGGUUGGGCUGUAUCUUGGUGAGGAAUAGAUCAGUCGGAUGAGUUUAGCCCAUAUUUGGUACCACAUGCAUAAGAGUCUGCAUGGUCUUUGUAUAAAUUGUGACAUGUCAGGAUGAAAUCCGGUGUUAUGAUGGUGUUGUGUUAUUGGUGCAUACUAUUGACUUGUGCUUGUGAUUGGUAUGAAUUGAUAAAUCUGAAUAUGCUAAGUAGGGUGGAUAAUUGCUUAUGAAUUCUAUAUUUGACGAUUUAUAAUGCUAUUUAAUUUAUGAUGUAGUCUCACCCUUACUUUGAUGAUUUCAGAUUGAAGUAGCGGCUUAAGCGAUCGGUGAGGAUGAAUUGUAAAGUCAUGCCUUUAGUUUUAAUAAAUAGGUGUCGGUGUCAUGCUCUGAGACUUGUAACACUAGGGAACGCUUGAUUGAGAGUUGUUUAUGCUCUAUUAUUUUAGUUUGAUUGUUUGGAUAAUUAUUUCUUUUGAAAUUAAGGCAUGUGACCUUAUGAAUAGUAUUUUAUGUGA
Vicia villosa (hairy vetch) is the source of this 12977-nucleotide long non-coding RNA. RefSeq lists it as uncharacterized. The transcript has 2 exons. NCBI's taxonomy places the organism in Eukaryota, Viridiplantae, Streptophyta, Magnoliopsida, Fabales, Fabaceae. The record is from RefSeq and is a predicted model, not a curated record.